CUCUUCCGGUUCUAGGCACUUCGGGAGCCGCGGCUUAUGGUGCAGACAUGGCCAAGUCCAAGAACCACACCACACACAACCAGUCCCGAAAAUGGCACAGAAAUGGUAUCAAGAAACCCCGAUCACAAAGAUACGAAUCUCUUAAGGGGGUGGACCCCAAGCUCCCAAAGGUACCCAGGCCCCUACAAAGGCUUCAGAGUAGAUAUCUCUGCCAACAUGAGGACAGAAGGACUGGUGCGACCCCCCACCCCCACCCCUGGGCUAUCAUCUGCAUGGGGCUGGGGUCCUCCUGUGCUAUUUGUACAAAUAAACCUGAG
This 317-nucleotide long non-coding RNA is filed under the name Homo sapiens (human). Its description in RNAcentral is "HSALNT0112316". The record is from RNAcentral. Lineage: Eukaryota; Metazoa; Chordata; Mammalia; Primates; Hominidae.